AUUGAACGCUGGCGGCAGGCUUAACACAUGCAAGUCGAGCGGGGUGAUGGUGCUUGCACUAUCACUUAGCGGCGGACGGGUGAGUAAUGCUUAGGAAUCUGCCUAUUAGUGGGGGACAACAUCUCGAAAGGGAUGCUAAUACCGCAUACGUCCUACGGGAGAAAGCAGGGGAUCACUUGUGACCUCUCGCUAUUAGAUGAGCCUAAGUCGGAUUAGCUAGUUGGUGGGGUAAAGGCCUACCAAGGCGACGAUCUGUAGCGGGUCUGAGAGGAUGAUCCGCCACACUGGGACUGAGACACGGCCAAGACUCCUACGGGAGGCAGCAGUGGGGAAUAUUGGACAAUGGGGGGAACCCUGAUCCAGCCAUGCCGCGUGUGUGAGGAAGGCCUUAUGGUUGUAAAGCACUUUAAGCGAGGAGGAGGCUCUUUUGGUUAAUACCCAAGAUGAGUGGACGUUACUCGCAGAAUAAGCACCGGCUAACUCUGUGCCAGCAGCCGCCGUAA
This 503-nucleotide ribosomal RNA is filed under the name uncultured bacterium. RNAcentral's name for it is "partial 16S ribosomal RNA". It matches the Rfam family "Bacterial small subunit ribosomal RNA", at positions 30 to 523 of the family's 1533-position model. The record is from RNAcentral.